This 253-nucleotide ribosomal RNA is filed under the name uncultured bacterium. RNAcentral's name for it is "partial 16S ribosomal RNA". It matches the Rfam family "Bacterial small subunit ribosomal RNA", at positions 524 to 776 of the family's 1533-position model. The record is from RNAcentral.
UACGUAGGGUGCGAGCGUUAAUCGGAAUUACUGGGCGUAAAGCGUGCGCAGGCGGUGCGCCAAGCUCGAUGUGAAAGCCCCGGGCUUAACCUGGGAAUUGCAUUGAGGACUGGCGUGCUCGAGUGCGGCAGAGGGGGGUGGAAUUCCACGUGUAGCAGUGAAAUGCGUAGAGAUGUGGAGGAACACCGAUGGCGAAGGCAGCCCCCUGGGCCGACACUGACGCUCAGGCACGAAAGCGUGGGGAGCAAAUAGG